UAGCCUAGUGGUUAAGGCUUUGGAUCGCUAAUCCGGAGACGGCGGGUUCGAUUCCCGU
Non-coding RNA from Aedes albopictus (Asian tiger mosquito), 58 nucleotides. The record is from Rfam. NCBI's taxonomy places the organism in Eukaryota, Metazoa, Arthropoda, Insecta, Diptera, Culicidae.